AGUUGUUCUCAGUUCGGAUUGUAGUCUGCAACUCGACUACAUGAAGCUGGAAUCGCUAGUAAUCGUAGAUCAGCAUGCUACGGUGAAUACGUUCCCGGGUCUUGUACACACCGCCCGUCACACCACGAGAGUUUGUAACACCCGAAGCCGGUGGAGUAACCUUUUAGGAGCUAGCCGUCGAAGGUGGGACAAAUGAUUGGGGUGAAGUCGUAACAAGGUAGCCGUAUCGGAAGGUGCGGCUGGAUCACCUCC
This 252-nucleotide ribosomal RNA is filed under the name Staphylococcus aureus. RNAcentral describes it as "partial 16S ribosomal RNA". It matches the Rfam family "Bacterial small subunit ribosomal RNA", at positions 1280 to 1530 of the family's 1533-position model. The record is from RNAcentral. Lineage: Bacteria; Bacillati; Bacillota; Bacilli; Caryophanales; Staphylococcaceae.